RNAcentral lists this ribosomal RNA (583 nucleotides) under Naganishia globosa. RNAcentral describes it as "LSU rRNA". It matches the Rfam family "Eukaryotic large subunit ribosomal RNA", at positions 56 to 630 of the family's 3401-position model. The record is from RNAcentral. Lineage: Eukaryota; Fungi; Basidiomycota; Tremellomycetes; Filobasidiales; Filobasidiaceae.
CUAAGAAACUAACAAGGAUUCCCCUAGUAACGGCGAGUGAAGCGGGAAGAGCUCAAAUUUGAAAUCUGGUAGCCUUCGGUUGCCCGAGUUGUAAUCUAGAGAAGUGUUUUCCGCGUUGGCCCAUGUACAAGUCCCUUGGAACAGGGCGUCAUAGAGGGUGAGAAUCCCGUCCUUGACAUGGACCCCCAAUGCUUUGUGAUACACUUUCAACGAGUCGAGUUGUUUGGGAAUGCAGCUCAAAAUGGGUGGUGAAUUCCAUCUAAAGCUAAAUAUUGGCGAGAGACCGAUAGCGAACAAGUACCGUGAGGGAAAGAUGAAAAGCACUUUGGAAAGAGAGUUAAACAGUACGUGAAAUUGUUGAAAGGGAAACGAUUGAAGUCAGUCAUGCUCUUUGGAUUAAGCCGUUCUGCGGUGUAUUUCAUUGAGCGGGGUCAACAUCAGUUUUGAUCGCUGGAAAAGGGCAGGAGGAAGGUAGCACUCUCGGGUGAACUUAUAGCCUCUUGUCGUAUACAGUGAUUGGGACUGAGGAACGCAGCAUGCCUUUUGGCCGGGAUUCGUCCACGUACAUGCUUAGGAUGUGACC